Molecule: small nuclear RNA, 106 nt
Organism: Cricetulus griseus (Chinese hamster)
Lineage: Eukaryota; Metazoa; Chordata; Mammalia; Rodentia; Cricetidae
Source: Ensembl
GUGCUCGUUUCUGCAGCACAUAUACUAAAUUAGAAUGACACAAAGAAGAUUAGCAUGGCUUCUGAGGAAGGAUGACGCACAAAUUUGUGAAGAAUUAGAAUUAUAA